UGUCCUUAGGCCAAAAUAGAAGACAUAUGGUUUCCUAGUGUUCGUUCUGCCUUGUCUAUCAAUGACAUGGUGUUACAUUUGAAGCUCGAUGCGCCUCCUCUGACGGCGUCUGUCCGCUGACCUGUGAAAAGAAUAUUCAUUGUUUUCCGGAAUUGAGCUUCAAUCAUAUAUUUGUGGUUGAAGAAGAGUCUUUUGUAAACUUACCAACGUUAAAGACAUUGUAAGUAAAUUGAAGCGCGAACUGUGAUAUNAACAAGCUGGUAGUUGUANAGCACCAAAGAGAACCAANCUACUGCUUCNANACUGUUCAUGUCACAGACACAGACGAUUUAAUGGGAAUUUCAUUAAAGACGUUUUGAAAAACAUGUUUAGUGGUCUGGAGAAACUUGAAGCAAUAAGAAUAAAUGAAGAAGGGUGGAAGGUGUUCUAUAGCUACCUUUGGUAAUGUGGCUGUCAUAACAUGGUGGAUAUUCCUUUCAAGAAAACGACCAAGAACACAAGGUGUAAAGAUAAACAGUGUCCAGUCCUUGCUAUUUUGCCAUCUCGCGCUUGUUGAUCUUCUCAUGGGAGUAUAUAUAUCUUCUGCUCAUUGGAACUUACAAUGAAAUAUGGAAGGGAGAAUUAUUUCUGCAUGACGUGGAGUUGAGAGCUGGCAUCAAGUGUAAAAUAGCAGGCGCCAUUUCCACUUUGUAAAGCGAAGUUUCAGUCAUGAUGAAAGGAGUAGAAGGAAGAGCCUGGAGAAAAGGUAUUGAUGAAGGGAGAGAGCCAACAAACUCUACUCACAUGUGAUGUGGAGUCAAGGAAUCGCACCCUAGAACCAAGAGAUGAAUGACAAAUAGACAAAAUCGGGUUGGAAAGACCAGGCUAAAGCAAGAGUGAAUAAUGAAGACCAGGGGUUACUGAGGUGAGGUGCUG
Molecule: long non-coding RNA, 915 nt
Filed under: Actinia tenebrosa (Australian red waratah sea anemone)
Lineage: Eukaryota; Metazoa; Cnidaria; Anthozoa; Actiniaria; Actiniidae
Description: uncharacterized LOC116292296, transcript variant X3
Source: RNAcentral